This 454-nucleotide ribosomal RNA is filed under the name uncultured Porphyromonadaceae bacterium. Its description in RNAcentral is "partial 16S ribosomal RNA". It matches the Rfam family "Bacterial small subunit ribosomal RNA", at positions 341 to 792 of the family's 1533-position model. The record is from RNAcentral. Lineage: Bacteria; Pseudomonadati; Bacteroidota; Bacteroidia; Bacteroidales; Porphyromonadaceae.
ACGGGAGGCAGCCUUGCUGCAUAUUGGUCAAUGGUCGGAAGACUGAACAAGCCAAGUCGCGUGCAGGAAGACGGUCCUAUGGAUUGUAAACUGCUUUUGUACGGGAAUAAAGUGCGGGACGUGUCCCGUUUGGAAUGUACCGUAAGAAUAAGGGUCGGCUAACUCCGUGCCAGCAGCCGCGGUAAUACGGAGGACCCGAGCGUUAUCCGGAUUUAUUGGGUUUAAAGGGUGCGCAGGCGGAGGAUUAAGUCAGCGGUGAAAUUUUCAUGCUCAACAUGAAAACUGCCAUUGAUAAUGGUCCCCUUGAGAGAUGUCGAGGAUGGCGGAAUGUGAUGUGUAGCGGUGAAAUGCUUAGAUAUGUUACAGAACACCGAUUGCGAAGGCAGCUGUCCAGAGAUCUUCUGACGCUCAGGCACGAAAGCAUGGGUAUCAAACAGGAUUAGAUACCCUGGUA